This 261-nucleotide ribosomal RNA is filed under the name uncultured bacterium. Its description in RNAcentral is "partial small subunit ribosomal RNA". It matches the Rfam family "Bacterial small subunit ribosomal RNA", at positions 26 to 282 of the family's 1533-position model. The record is from RNAcentral.
AGAAUCAACGCUGGCGGCGUGCCUCAGACAUGCAAGUCGAACGCGAAAGUCCCCUUCGGGGGAUGAUUAGAGUGGCGCACGGGUGAGUAACACGUAGGUAAUCUACCUUCGAGUGGGGAAUAACUCAGGGAAACUUGAGCUAAUACCGCAUAAUGCAGCGGCACCACAUGGUGACAGUUGUUAAAGCAUUUAUACGCUUGAAGAGGAGCCUGCGGCAGAUUAGCUAGUUGGUAAGGUAAUGGCUUACCAAGGCUACGAUCU